AUUGAACGCUGGCGGCAUGCCUUACACAUGCAAGUCGAACGGCAGCGCGGGAGCAAUCCUGGCGGCGAGUGGCGAACGGGUGAGUAAUACAUCGGAACGUGCCCAAUCGUGGGGGAUAACGCAGCGAAAGCUGUGCUAAUACCGCAUAAGAUCUACGGAUGAAAGCAGGGGACUCGCAAGAGCCUUGCGCGACUGGAGCGGCCGAUGGCAGAUUAGGUAGUUGGUGAGGUAAAGGCUCACCAAGCCUUCGAUCUGUAGCUGGUCUGAGAGGACGACCAGCCACACUGGGACUGAGACACGGCCCAGACUCCUACGGGAGGCAGCAGUGGGGAAUUUUGGACAAUGGGCGCAAGCCUGAUCCAGCCAUGCCGCGUGCAGGAUGAAGGCCUUCGGGUUGUAAACUGCUUUUGUACGGAACGAAAAGGUUCUUUCUAAUAAAGAGAGCUCAUGACGGUACCGUAAGAAUAAGCACCGGCUAACUACGUGCCAGCAGCCGCGGUAAUACGUAGGGUGCAAGCGUUAAUCGGAAUUACUGGGCGUAAAGCGUGCGCAGGCGGUUAUGUAAGACAGUUGUGAAAUCCCCGGGCUCAACCUGGGAACUGCAUCUGUGACUGCAUAGCUAGAGUACGGUUGAGGGGGAUGGAAUUCCGCGUGUAGCAGUGAAAUGCGUAGAUAUGCGGAGGAACACCGAUGGCGAAGGCAAUCCCCUGGACCUGUACUGACGCUCAUGCACGAAAGCGUGGGGAGCAAA
This 751-nucleotide ribosomal RNA is filed under the name uncultured soil bacterium. RNAcentral's name for it is "bacterial SSU rRNA". It matches the Rfam family "Bacterial small subunit ribosomal RNA", at positions 28 to 772 of the family's 1533-position model. The record is from RNAcentral.